Long non-coding RNA from Paramisgurnus dabryanus, 2490 nucleotides. RefSeq lists it as uncharacterized. Lineage: Eukaryota; Metazoa; Chordata; Actinopteri; Cypriniformes; Cobitidae. The record is from RefSeq and is a predicted model, not a curated record.
UGGGAAAUCCCUGCUAAACUUUAGGUUUGCCAGAUUUUUGAGGCAGAGUGCUUGGAAAGGUAAUACACCAAAGUAAACCCGUGAAACAUCCAGAAACCUUACGUUUGUGGAUGUAUGUAGGAACUGGUGGAAGUUUCCAGGAAUCCUUACAGCUGGUUGUGAGGAGCGGUGGGUGUGAGGUGUGAACGGCUUUUUAUAUGUUAAUGACCCACAGGUAGAGGUGUCUUCUUUGUUUUCAGAGCUGAGUGGGGUGGGGUGGGGGGUUAACCAUGUCUCUUUAAGACAGCACAUACAGUAUUGUGGUACAUAAAAACUGUGUUUUCUAAAUAUGUUUAUUAUUAAUAUAAUUUAAUUAGUCUAUUUAAGAAACUAAGCAUCAUUCAAAAUAACUAAAAUUCAAUGGACACAAUUAUCAUUUUAAUGUGUGAAAAUUAUGUCUCUGACUCAAGAGAAAUGCAACAAAUAUUAUUUCAGAAUAUAUAUUUCCAACACUUUGAAAACAUGUCUCCAACUGCCCUAGGUCAGAAUAUUGUGAACGUAUCUCUCAAUGCUGCAUACAUCGUUUAAAAGAAGCCGUUCAAAUGACAUCAUGUAACUCAUUUUUGCUAGCUAGGAUGUUGAUAAAUUAGUCAGUGAAAUGUAAAGCUGCUUAUUUUUGCUGAUGUCUCAUGAUUUGAAGUUAACUGUUUCUGUUGUUAUUAUAAUUCUACCCUAACAUUUCAUUAAAUCUUUUAAAAUAGAAACAAAAAUAUCAAUAGACAGGUCCAUAAUCUAAAAGACAGUCUUUCACAUGUGGAUGCAAAACAUGUUGGGUGAAACAGACUGACAAACUCGGGUAAACAUAUCUGCAGAUACCUGUCAGCUACUGUACUUCUAGUCCAGAGGUGCCCAAAGUUGGCCCACAAAAGACCUUAAAUUUUUUUAUGUUUCAUGCAUAUUUGAAGGUGUAUAAAAUGCAUCACAAAACCUAAUGAACUCGGGUACUAUAGGCUAAAAAUGAAGAGGUUGCGGCAGUGGCACACAGAGAAAAGGAUAUUUAAAAUUGAUUGGCAAAACGAUUUCUUUUUUCUACAAAAAGCCUUGGAAAAUAAAACUGCAUUAGUUAUGCAUAAACAAGAGUAAUGUUUGCUUAUUUAUUUUUAAAAUAUUAGAAAAUUAUAAAUUAGGGGUUAUCAGGGCAACUUUAAUUUUAAUAUAACACAACAACAUUUACUUUUGGCCCACGGCCCUCAGUCAGGUUUGGCCCUUGUAAGGAAAAUGUUCGGGCACCAAUCAAUGUUCUAGUCUAUCUGAGGAGGUAACUUUUAGCAUUUGAUAAUGCAUGCUUGCACAAAGUCAGACCACAUAUUAUAAUGUUUGUCUUCAAUCAAUCAAUUUAAACAAAAGAGAUGGGGACUUUAUAAUAUAAUAAGGGUCCAUAUAUCACAGUGAAAAAAGACAUACAUGUAUUUUUACUUUAACAUGAACUAAUGCUGAGUUACAGCAUAUCCUAAUAAUAAACUAUUGAAGAGUCAUCAUUAACUACGACAUGUUUUUCAUUGUUAGUUAAUGCAGUCAUUUACAAUAAAUUAAUUUGAGUUCAUGUUGUAGUUAAGUAAGUUCAGUAAGUUACAUGUCUUAACUCAGCAUUAGUUUAUAUUUACUAAUAUUUAAGUAAGAAUUCAUUUAGGUAUACGUUCAAUGUUUCCAAUGAUGAGCCACUCAUCCACUAAACCCAGAGAUAAUUCCUGAGGCAUGUUUAAAGAGUUUUGUAUUUCAUCAAGAAGGUGCUGCUGAUUCACAAAGAUUUUAUAUUUAAGAAAAUCUGAGCAUCAUUCCAAAUAACUGUUAACAUGUUUGUCAACUAAACAUGUUUUGUAAACGUAAUAAACUUUAUAAAAAUAUUUUUUAUUUUUUAUUAAUAAUCAAGUAUAAAGAACAAUGCAUAGUGUGAAAACGCGGAUUAUAAAAAGUAUAUUAAAGAAAAGGACUACAUUUCCCAGAAUGCACCUGCACCUACUCAUCUGCCCCCACCCUUCAGGUGUGACUGCUCAACCUAUGGGCUUGACGGGAAAAUUCAAAAUCGCGAACCGUUACUGCCUGGACUACUCCGUCUCUUAUUUGUUUGUUUGCUCAUCAACAGUAAGAGGUCAUGUACACUGUGGUCAACUUUGUGGACGAUGAAGAGGUUUCUGGGUAAAGCUGAUAGAAAUAUAAUGAAGUAACAGUGAAAGCUAAAACAUCAGACUGAUCCAGACACUGAAGAAAUUGAUGUCACUGCAAUCUGGCCAAAAUGAUACAACUAUAUUGAAGUAGCCUACUGUAAUGAAGCUGCAGAACAACACAGAGACUCUGAGGACAUCAACACAGAAAAUUAAGGCUCCAAAGAGAUGUCUGUCCAGAUGAGGGUGCAUCAACGUUACCUUUGCUGACAAGUAUAUGCUUUACAAUGUAAAACCUAACAGUUAACUUAACUCAAACCAUUUAAGGAAAUCGGUUGCCUUAACCCAU